CCGGUAAACGGCGGCCGUAACUAUAACGGUCCUAAGGUAGCGAAAUUCCUUGUCGGGUAAGUUCCGACCUGCACGAAUGGCGUAAUGAUGGCCAGGCUGUCUCCACCCGAGACUCAGUGAAAUUGAACUCGCUGUGAAGAUGCAGUGUACCCGCGGCAAGACGGAAAGACCCCGUGAACCUUUACUAUAGCUUGACACUGAACAUUGAGCCUUGAUGUGUAGGAUAGGUGGGAGGCUUGGAAGUGUGGACGCCAGUCUGCAUGGAGCCGACCUUGAAAUACCACCCUUUAAUGUUUGAUGUUCUAACGUUGACCCGUAAUCCGGGUUGCGGACAGUGUCUGGUGGGUAGUUUGACUGGGGCGGUCUCCUCCUAAAGAGUAACGGAGGAGCACGAAGGUUGGCUAAUCCUGGUCGGACAUCAGGAGGUUAGUGCAAUGGCAUAAGCCAGCUUGACUGCGAGCGUGACGGCGCGAGCAGGUGCGAAAGCAGGUCAUAGUGAUCCGGUGGUUCUGAAUGGAAGGGCCAUCGCUCAACGGAUAAAAGGUACUCCGGGGAUAACAGGCUGAUACCGCCCAAGAGUUCAUAUCGACGGCGGUGUUUGGCACCUCGAUGUCGGCUCAUCACAUCCUGGGGCUGAAGUAGGUCCCAAGGGUAUGGCUGUUCGCCAUUUAAAGUGGUACGCGAGCUGGGUUUAGAACGUCGUGAGACAGUUCGGUCCCUAUCUGCCGUGGGCGCUGGAGAACUGAGGGGGGCUGCUCCUAGUACGAGAGGACCGGAGUGGACGCAUCACUGGUGUUCGGGUUGUCAUGCCAAUGGCACUGCCCGGUAGCUAAAUGCGGAAGAGAUAAGUGCUGAAAGCAUCUAAGCACGAAACUUGCCCCGAGAUGAGUU
Molecule: ribosomal RNA, 891 nt
Filed under: Escherichia coli
Lineage: Bacteria; Pseudomonadati; Pseudomonadota; Gammaproteobacteria; Enterobacterales; Enterobacteriaceae
Description: partial 23S ribosomal RNA
Rfam family: Bacterial large subunit ribosomal RNA
Source: RNAcentral